UGGGGCGUCGCCAAGUCCGGUCAAGGCACGGGAUUUUGAUUCCCGCAUACGCAGGUUCGAAUCCUGCCGCCCCAGCCA
RNAcentral lists this transfer RNA (78 nucleotides) under Rhodanobacter sp. Its description in RNAcentral is "tRNA-Gln". It matches the Rfam family "tRNA". Rfam says of the family: Transfer RNA (tRNA) molecules are approximately 80 nucleotides in length. The record is from RNAcentral. Lineage: Bacteria; Pseudomonadati; Pseudomonadota; Gammaproteobacteria; Lysobacterales; Rhodanobacteraceae.